UGAGGAAUAUUGGUCAAUGGGCGAGAGCCUGAACCAGCCAAGUAGCGUGCAGGAUGACGGCCCUAUGGGUUGUAAACUGCUUUUAUAUGGGAAUAAAGUGAGGGACGUGUCCCUUAUUGCAUGUACCAUAUGAAUAAGGACCGGCUAAUUCCGUGCCAGCAGCCGCGGUAAUACGGAAGGUCCAGGCGUUAUCCGGAUUUAUUGGGUUUAAAGGGAGCGUAGGCUGUUUGUUAAGCGUGUUGUGAAAUGUAGGAGCUCAACUUCUAGAUUGCAGCGCGAACUGUCAGACUUGAGUGCGCACAACGUAGGCGGAAUUCAUGGUGUAGCGGUGGAAUGCUUAGAUAUCAUGAAGAACUCCGAUUGCGAAGGCAGCUUACGGGAGCGCAACUGACGCUGAAGCUCGAAGGUGCGGGUAUCGAACAGG
RNAcentral lists this ribosomal RNA (424 nucleotides) under Verrucomicrobiota bacterium. Its description in RNAcentral is "Verrucomicrobia bacterium partial 16S ribosomal RNA". It matches the Rfam family "Bacterial small subunit ribosomal RNA", at positions 355 to 776 of the family's 1533-position model. The record is from RNAcentral. Lineage: Bacteria; Pseudomonadati; Verrucomicrobiota.